This is a long non-coding RNA of Oncorhynchus tshawytscha (Chinook salmon), 1399 nucleotides long. RefSeq lists it as uncharacterized. NCBI's taxonomy places the organism in Eukaryota, Metazoa, Chordata, Actinopteri, Salmoniformes, Salmonidae. The record is from RefSeq and is a predicted model, not a curated record. The transcript is spliced from 2 exons.
UUGCACGCUCCCUCACACACAGUGGACAUGUGUAAUGAUCAUGCUGUUUAAUCAGUUUCUUGAUAUGCCAUGCCUGCCAGGUAGAAAUGCUCACCAACAGCAAUAUAAACAAAUUUGUGCCCAAAAUUGGAGAAAUAGGUUUUUUGAGCGUAUGGAAAAUGUAUGGGAACUCUUUCAGAUCGUGAAACAUGGGACCAACAUUUUUGUUCAGUAUGUGCUUUUUUGUCUAGAGUUUAAAAAAAGAAAAAAAAAUUGAAAGGUCAAGUGGCGGUUGGUGGGGGGGAUGAAGUCACUGAAUGUCAUGAUUGGUGGGAUUAUUGUAUGCCUCCUGUCUUUGGCUUUUGUUAUCCAAUGAAAGCUCUUUAUGUUUUCAUAGAAUGUGAGCGAUAAUCCAAUCAUGUGUUGCAUUCAGAGGUUCCAUUUCCCUCCCAUAAAAAAAACAAGUUCUCAUGUUUUAUACCCUUUCGCUAAAAGAAGCGUGUAGUACUGGGCAAGUUUCUGAAACAAACCAGCAAUCUUAUCUUGAAGACCAACGGUAGCUUAGUAGUUUCAAGCAUUCCAAUGGGUUUGUUUUUUAAAUUCUGUUUACAAGUGCUUGUCUCGACUGUACUUUAUAUUUUCAAAUGUCUGACAUUUAAAAUGUCUCCGUUGUGAUUUGAGGAUCAUGUAGAUUUUUAAAAUAACUACUCUUUAUUGCAUGUUCCAUUUUGAAAUAUACUUUAUUCCAAUUAAUUGCUCCUGAAAUUGUAUUUCUUGAAUAAUUACCUUUGUUUUAAGUCACAUACUGUGACAAUGAAAAUACUCGUAUCAACUAUCUAAUGCAGAUGUUAAUGGUUUGGUCAGAAUUAGACUUAAACGCUGCAUCUUUCACAUAUUUUGAAGCUAUUGUCAUUUUCAUCACACUCUAAAUUAAGACAAGUCAGCCCAGUGGGUGUCAGGAAACAUUUAAUUCAACUUUGAUGCAGCUGAAUGUCAAGAAAUCUCUGGUAUAUAGAAAACUUUAAUUUGGUAUUCAUUAAUUAAAACAGUUUUGAUGGAAACUUGCAUAGGUGUUUAGACUCGUUGCGAGUCAUUCUUGAAUACGCUAUUGCUCGUCUUAUCAUGGUUCAUAGCUGCAGAGGACAAGUAGAUUUAUAGUUUUCUGAUCAUCCUUUACAAUGAAUGCAUUGUUUUGAUAUCCACGGACUCCCUCUGAAAUUGUAUAUGAUGUAAUGUUUCAGUGCAUCCCCUUUUAAACUAUGUGCCAGUAAACUUGCAUUUUCCUUUUUGUAUAAAACCCAAAAUGUCUUGUAGAUAUUGUUGCUAAAAUGUGUUCUAACUCAGAUGUUUGAUGCCAUGCUUGUAGUCCUGAGCCCCAGCAACUGAUGUAAGUUUUCUAAUAAAAUUAAUACUGGUAACA